RNAcentral lists this ribosomal RNA (422 nucleotides) under Verrucomicrobiota bacterium. RNAcentral's name for it is "Verrucomicrobia bacterium partial 16S ribosomal RNA". It matches the Rfam family "Bacterial small subunit ribosomal RNA", at positions 355 to 776 of the family's 1533-position model. Lineage: Bacteria; Pseudomonadati; Verrucomicrobiota. The record is from RNAcentral.
UGGGGAAUUUUGCACAAUGGGCGCAAGCCUGAUGCAGCGACGCCGCGUGAGGGAUGAAGGCCUUCGGGUUGUAAACCUUUUUCGCUCAUGGUCAAGCUGCAGCUUUGGGUUGUGGUGAGGGUAGUGGGUAAAGAAGCGCCGGCUAACUACGUGCCAGCAGCCGCGGUAAUACGUAGGGCGCGAGCGUUGUCCGGAAUUAUUGGGCGUAAAGGGCUUGUAGGCGGUUGGCCGCGUCUGCCGUGAAGUCCUCUGGCUUAACUGGGGGCGUGCGGUGGGUACGGGUUGACUUGAGUGCGGUAGGGGAGACUGGAAUUCCUGGUGUAGCGGUGGAAUGCGCAGAUAACAGGAGGAACACCGGUGGAGAAGGCGGGUCUCUGAGCCGUUACUGACGCUGAGGAGCGAAAGCGUGGGGAGCGAACAGG